ACUCCUACGGGAGGCAGCAGUAGGGAAUCUUCCACAAUGGACGCAAGUCUGAUGGAGCAACGCCGCGUGAGUGAAGAAGGCUUUCGGGUCGUAAAACUCUGUUGUUGGAGAAGAAUGGUCGGCAGAGUAACUGUUGUCGGCGUGACGGUAUCCAACCAGAAAGCCACGGCUAACUACGUGCCAGCAGCCGCGGUAAUACGUAGGUGGCAAGCGUUAUCCGGAUUUAUUGGGCGUAAAGCGAGCGCAGGCGGUUUUUUAAGUCUGAUGUGAAAGCCCUCGGCUUAACCGAGGAAGCGCAUCGGAAACUGGGAAACUUGAGUGCAGAAGAGGACAGUGGAACUCCAUGUGUAGCGGUGAAAUGCGUAGAUAUAUGGAAGAACACCAGUGGCGAAGGCGGCUGUCUGGUCUGUAACUGACGCUGAGGCUCGAAAGCAUGGGUAGCGAACAGGAUUAGAUACCCUGGUAGGCGUAGU
This 473-nucleotide ribosomal RNA is filed under the name uncultured bacterium. Its description in RNAcentral is "bacterial SSU rRNA". It matches the Rfam family "Bacterial small subunit ribosomal RNA", at positions 335 to 803 of the family's 1533-position model. The record is from RNAcentral.